GAUGAACGCUGGCGGCGUGCUUAACACAUGCAAGUCGAACGAAGCACUUUAUUUGAUUUCCUUCGGGACUGAUUAUUUUGUGACUGAGUGGCGGACGGGUGAGUAACGCGUGGGUAACCUGCCUCAUACAGGGGGAUAACAGUUGGAAACGACUGCUAAUACCGCAUAAGCGCACGGUAUCGCAUGAUACAGUGUGAAAAACUCCGGUGGUAUGAGAUGGACCCGCGUCUGAUUAGCUAGUUGGCGGAGUAACGGCCCACCAAGGCAACGAUCAGUAGCCGACCUGAGAGGGUGACCGGUCACAUUGGGACUGAGACACGGCCCAAACUCCUACGGGAGGCAGCAGUGGGGAAUAUUGCACAAUGGGGGAAACCCUGAUGCAGCGACGCCGCGUGAGUGAAGAAGUAUUUCGGUAUGUAAAGCUCUAUCAGCAGGGAAGAAAAUGACGGUGCCUGACUAAGAAGCCCCGGCUAACUACGUGCCAGCAGCCGCCGUAA
RNAcentral lists this ribosomal RNA (497 nucleotides) under uncultured bacterium. RNAcentral's name for it is "partial 16S ribosomal RNA". It matches the Rfam family "Bacterial small subunit ribosomal RNA", at positions 28 to 523 of the family's 1533-position model. The record is from RNAcentral.